UAAAGAGGUGGCAAGCGUUGUUCGGAAUUACUGGGCGUAAAGGGCGCGUAGGCGGUCUUGUAAGUCCCGUGUGAAAGCCCCCGGCUCAACUGGGGAACGGCACGGGAAACUGCGAGGCUUGAGUUCGAGAGAGGGAAGCGGAAUUCCGGGUGUAGCGGUGAAAUGCGUAGAUAUCCGGAGGAACACCAGUGGCGAAGGCGGCUUCCUGGACCGAUACUGACGCUGAGGCGCGAAAGCUAGGGGAGCAAACGGG
This 253-nucleotide ribosomal RNA is filed under the name uncultured bacterium. RNAcentral describes it as "partial 16S ribosomal RNA". It matches the Rfam family "Bacterial small subunit ribosomal RNA", at positions 524 to 776 of the family's 1533-position model. The record is from RNAcentral.